CAGGGAGGUAGUGACAAGAAAUAACAAUACAGGACUUUUUGGUUUUGUAAUUGGAAUGAGUUAAGUAUAAACCCCUUUACAAGUAUCAAUUGGAGGGCAAGUCUGGUGCCAGCAGCCGCGGUAAUUCCAGCUCCAAUAGCGUAUAUUAAAGUUGUUGCAGUUAAAAAGCUCGUAGUUGGAUUUCUGUUAAUAAUUUAUAUAAAAUAUUUUGAUGAAUAUUUAUAUAAUAUUAACAUAAUUCAUAUUACUAUUUUUUUUUUUAGUAUAUGAAAUUUUACUUUGAGAAAAUUAGAGUGCUUAAAGCAGGCAUAUGCCUUGAAUACUCCAGCAUGGAAUAAUAUUAAAGAUUUUUAUCUUUUUUAUUGGUUCUAAGAUAAGAAUAAUGAUUAAUAGGGACAGUUGGGGGCAUUUGUAUUUAACAGUCAGAGGUGAAAUUCUUAGAUUUGUUAAAGACAAACUAAUGCGAAAGCAUUUGCCAAGGAUGUUUUCAUUAAUCAAGAACGAAAGUUAGGGGAUCGAAGACGAUCAGAUACCGUCGUA
This 540-nucleotide ribosomal RNA is filed under the name Cryptosporidium hominis. RNAcentral describes it as "partial small subunit ribosomal RNA". It matches the Rfam family "Eukaryotic small subunit ribosomal RNA", at positions 457 to 1022 of the family's 1831-position model. The record is from RNAcentral. Lineage: Eukaryota; Apicomplexa; Conoidasida; Eucoccidiorida; Cryptosporidiidae.